GGGGGGGGGGGGGGGGGGGGGUGGGGCAGGGAGGUGGAGGGGAGGGGGGAUGGUUUUGUGGGGUGCUCGAGUGGCGAACGGGUGAGUAACACGUGAGUAACCUGGCCUUGACUUUGGGAUAACUUCGGGAAACUGGGGCUGAUACCGGAUAGGAGCUCCUGCUGAGUGGUGGUGGUUGGAAAGUUUCGGCGGUUGGGGAUGGACUCGCGGCUUAUCAGCUUGUUGGUGGGGUAGUGGCUUACCAAGGCUUCGACGGGUCGCCGGCCUGAGAGGGUGACCGGCCACAUUGGGACUGAGAUACGGCCCAGACUCCUACGGGAGGCAGCAGUGGGGAAUAUUGCACAAUGGGCGGAAGCCUGAUGCAGCAACGCCGCGUGCGGGAUGACGGCCUUCGGGUUGUAAACCGCUUUCGCCUGUGACGAAGCGUGAGCGACGGUAAUGGGUAAAGAAGCACCGGCUAACUACGUG
Molecule: ribosomal RNA, 468 nt
Filed under: uncultured bacterium
Lineage: Bacteria
Description: partial 16S ribosomal RNA
Rfam family: Bacterial small subunit ribosomal RNA (bases 58-468)
Source: RNAcentral